Molecule: ribosomal RNA, 421 nt
Filed under: uncultured bacterium
Lineage: Bacteria
Description: bacterial SSU rRNA
Rfam family: Bacterial small subunit ribosomal RNA
Source: RNAcentral
UAAGGAAUAUUGGUCAAUGGACGCAAGUCUGAACCAGCCAUGCCGCGUGAAGGAUGAAGGUCCUCUGGAUUGUAAACUUCUUUUAUCUGGGACGAAAACGGGAUUUUUAUCUCAAUUGACGGUACCAGAGGAAUAAGCACCGGCUAACUCCGUGCCAGCAGCCGCGGUAAUACGGAGGGUGCAAGCGUUAUCCGGAUUCACUGGGUUUAAAGGGUGCGUAGGUGGGCAGGUAAGUCAGUGGUGAAAUCUCCGGGCUUAACCCGGAAACUGCCGUUGAUACUAUUUGUCUUGAAUAAUGUGGAGGUAAGCGGAAUAUGUCAUGUAGCGGUGAAAUGCUUAGAUAUGACAUAGAACACCAAUUGCGAAGGCAGCUUACUACACAAUCAUUGACGCUGAGGCACGAAAGCGUGGGGAUCAAACA